UGAGGUUCUUCCAUAUCUCCUACUGUGUACC
RNAcentral lists this non-coding RNA (31 nucleotides) under Mus musculus (house mouse). Lineage: Eukaryota; Metazoa; Chordata; Mammalia; Rodentia; Muridae. The record is from RNAcentral.